This 149-nucleotide transfer RNA is filed under the name Colletotrichum fioriniae PJ7. It matches the Rfam family "tRNA". From Rfam's summary of the family: Transfer RNA (tRNA) molecules are approximately 80 nucleotides in length. Their secondary structure includes four short double-helical elements and three loops (D, anti-codon, and T loops). Lineage: Eukaryota; Fungi; Ascomycota; Sordariomycetes; Glomerellales; Glomerellaceae. The record is from Rfam by way of RNAcentral.
GGACGUGUGGCUUAGUGGGGGAGCGUCUUCGUUAUAUGCUUACAGGAGUUUAACCAUGAUCACUUCUUUGAUUCUAGACAGCCGCUUGCAGUAAUACAGUUCUAAGGAGACAAUGAAAGGAAGCGCGGGUUCGAUUCCCGCCAUGUCCA